AUUGAACGCUGGCGGCAGGCCUAACACAUGCAAGUCGAACGGUAACAGGAAACAGCUUGCUGUUUCGCUGACGAGUGGCGGACGGGUGAGUAAUGUCUGGGAAACUGCCUGAUGGAGGGGGAUAACUACUGGAAACGGUAGCUAAUACCGCAUAACGUCGCAAGCCCAAAGAGGGGGACCUUCGGGCCUCUUGCCAUCGGAUGCGCCCAGAUGGGAUUAGCUAGUAGGUGGGGUAACGGCUCACCUAGGCGACGAUCCCUAGCUGGUCUGAGAGGAUGACCAGCCACACUGGAACUGAGACACGGUCCAGACUUCUACGGGAGGCAGCAGUGGGGAAUAUUGCACAAUGGGCGCAAGCCUGAUGCAGCCAUGCCGCGUGUAUGAAGAAGGCCUUCGGGUUGUAAAGUACUUUCAGCGGGGAGGAAGGUAGUAAAGUUAAUACCUUUGCUCAUUGACGUUACCCGCAGAAGAAGCACCGGCUAACUCCGUG
This 490-nucleotide ribosomal RNA is filed under the name uncultured bacterium. Its description in RNAcentral is "partial 16S ribosomal RNA". It matches the Rfam family "Bacterial small subunit ribosomal RNA", at positions 30 to 507 of the family's 1533-position model. The record is from RNAcentral.